This 253-nucleotide ribosomal RNA is filed under the name uncultured bacterium. Its description in RNAcentral is "partial 16S ribosomal RNA". It matches the Rfam family "Bacterial small subunit ribosomal RNA", at positions 524 to 776 of the family's 1533-position model. The record is from RNAcentral.
UACAGAGGGGGCAAGCGUUGUUCGGAAUUACUGGGCGUAAAGGGCGCGUAGGCGGCCUUCUAAGUCGAACGUGAAAUCCCUGGGCUCAACCCAGGAACUGCGUCCGAUACUGGAAGGCUUGAAUCCGGGAGAGGGAUGCGGAAUUCCAGGUGUAGCGGUGAAAUGCGUAGAUAUCUGGAGGAACACCGGUGGCGAAGGCGGCGUCCUGGACCAACACUGACACUGAGGAGCGAAAGCCAGGGGAGCAAACGGG